AGCGAACGCUGGCGGCAGGCUUAACACAUGCAAGUCGAGCGGGCACUUUCGGGUGUCAGCGGCGGACGGGUGAGUAACGCGUGGGAACGUGCCCUCUGGUUCGGAAUAACUCAGGGAAACUUGAGCUAAUACCGGAUACGCCCUUUUGGGGAAAGGCUUGCUGCCGGAGGAUCGGCCCGCGUCUGAUUAGCUAGUUGGUGAGGUAACGGCUCACCAAGGCGACGAUCAGUAGCUGGUCUGAGAGGAUGAUCAGCCCCACUGGGACUGAGACACGGCCCAGACUCUUACGGGAGGCAGCAGUGGGGAAUAUUGGACAAUGGGCGCAAGCCUGAUCCAGCCAUGCCGCGUGAGUGAUGAAGGCCUUAGGGUUGUAAAGCUCUUUUAUCCGGGACGAUAAUGACGGUACCGGAGGAAUAAGCCCCGGCUAACUUCGUG
RNAcentral lists this ribosomal RNA (435 nucleotides) under uncultured bacterium. Its description in RNAcentral is "partial 16S ribosomal RNA". It matches the Rfam family "Bacterial small subunit ribosomal RNA", at positions 29 to 507 of the family's 1533-position model. The record is from RNAcentral.